GUUGCAGUGAGAUGUGAGGCACUUGCAGAGACUCAGUCCACCACCCUGGGCAGCUUUCACCACCCUGGGCAGCUUUUCCGAGACGUAGGGACUGGCUUGCCGUAAUUCAUAGCUUCUGCUGUCCCUUGCUACAUACCUCCUGUUUGGUCACAAACUAGGAUUGCAGCAUCUGCUUGUAGGCUCAAAAUAAAGGGAUGGAGAAAAAUCGACCAAGCAAAUGGAAAACAGAAAAGAGCAACUUGCUUCCUGAAAAUUCACGAACUCUCAGAUCCUAGAUGAAAAUGAGACCAGAAGAUGGAAGAAUCUGGAUCUCAAAAGGCUGGAGUGCGGUGGCAUGAUCUCGGCUCACUGCAAACUCUGCCUCCCCAGUUCAAAUGAUUCUUCUGCCUUCUGCCUCAGCCUCCCAAAUAGCUGGAACUACAGGCCAACUUUUCUACCAGAUAACCCUGACCUCAUCCUGUCAGAAUUGAAUGGACCAAGAAUUGAGCUACCCUAAAAGGCCAGUUUUCUGGAAAUAGUUUGAAGAUACCGACUCAUGGUUAAAUGUUUCACAUUUACCCUCAGAAAUGAGUGCUACUGUUCAGAAACGGAGGUGCCCACUUUGCUUGUGGGAUUUAGGAGGAAAUGCCACACACUGUCAUAGAAAAAAUGGCGUCUCACUCUAUUGCCCAGGCUAGAGUACAAUAGUGCAAUCUUGGCUCACUGCAACCUCCCCCUCCCAGGUUCAAGCCAUUCUCCUGCCUCAGCCUCCCGAGUAGCUAGAACUACAAGCACGUGCACUGUACCCAGCUAAUUUUUUGUAUUUUUAGCAGAGACGGGGUUUCUCCAUGUUGGCCAGGCUGGUCUCGAACUCCUGACCUCAGGUAAUCCACCGCCUCAUCCUCCCAAAAUGCAUUAUCUCUUCCCAAAAUGCAUUAUCUAUUUCAUUAAGAAAAAGGAGAAAGCAACCAUGCUAAGCUUCAAAUAAAAGCAUGUGAGCACACCUGAUGACGCUAGACCCACUGGAAUCUCGCAUAACUCAUCCUGAACGUGUUGGGAAUCAAGUCUCUCAGGAUUAGCCCUGGUAAUCUGAAAGUCACCAGUCAUCAAGAAGUGGCAUCUCUACCAUGUGGUGCAAUCAUAGCCCUGAACUCAAAUUUCUGUCUGAUAUAUUUGAUGUGAUCCCUCCUUUUAUACCCUUUUAACUUCUGCUUGGAGAGACCCACUGACCUUGUAGCUGACUGUCAGAACUUUUCCUUGCCAGGCCAGCAAUAAAUUUGGCAUUGUUUUGGACAUUGAUU
This 1280-nucleotide long non-coding RNA is filed under the name Homo sapiens (human). RNAcentral describes it as "HSALNT0368620". Lineage: Eukaryota; Metazoa; Chordata; Mammalia; Primates; Hominidae. The record is from RNAcentral.